RNAcentral lists this long non-coding RNA (780 nucleotides) under Rattus norvegicus (Norway rat). RNAcentral describes it as "long non-coding RNA NONRATT018076". Lineage: Eukaryota; Metazoa; Chordata; Mammalia; Rodentia; Muridae. The record is from RNAcentral.
CACAACAGGAAGCUCAAAUUAAUUGGGCUCUCUUAAUGUGGGCUCCACGGGAACUUCAAGUUCAUUUCUUGAUAUCAUAGAGUACAACAGCCUAUCAGGCUCAUUGUUUAGUUUAUUUCCUUUUUUAAAAAAUAGUUUAAUCUUCAUAAUGGGUGUGACUUUGAGUUUUAUGGUUAUAUUAUUACUCUGGGAGAGAGUGCAAGAUACAAGCUUUUCUGGUUACAGACUAAGGAACACAGUAUUUGGGGAGAAAGAUUUUGUCUUUGUGUUUUUAAAAGGUGUGAUGUGGCUCUGGAAACCUCACGGAGUCAUACUGAUCAGAUUUGAUAGAGGUAGACUGCCUGAAAAUAUUAAUGCAGGAGAAUCAAACAAAAAGAGAUUUCAAUUCUAAACUUUUGUCUUUAGAUUUGUAUUUUACAGAGUGUGCCUACUUGGAUUCCUGGUCUCAAGGAUUUUCAGCUGGGUCCAGUCAGGACACAUCCCGCUACAGCAUUUACUUCAUUCUUCCUACCCCCCACCACCAAGUAUAUCUCAACACCCAUGUACAGCUUGAAGAAGUUAUAGAGGAGGCAUUGCCCCAAUUCCCUGGACUUUGGGGGGCUGAAAGUGGUUAUUCUAAAGUUGUUUUUAUGAGGCAUUUAGAAAUGUUAAUUUAAUGGGGAAGAAUUAGCUAGAUUGAGUUAUACAGUCGUAAUCUCAUUGGUUAACUAAGCUAAAACCAUAUCUUUGCUUUGAUAUAGAAUUUAUUUGUUAAAAGUUUAAAAGUACAAGGUUUAGAGC